RNAcentral lists this long non-coding RNA (1456 nucleotides) under Oryzias javanicus (javanese ricefish). Its description in RNAcentral is "lncRNA (ENSOJAG00000020210.1)". The record is from RNAcentral. Lineage: Eukaryota; Metazoa; Chordata; Actinopteri; Beloniformes; Adrianichthyidae.
CUGAGGAGGAGUUAUGAUGUAACAAUAAAAGAGUUAGACACAUGCUUGAAUGUUUUGUUAGGUGUUGCUAUGCAACUCUGCAGACAUUUCUUAAAACUGCCUUCUUCCUUUUGAUGGUGUUGGAUCUGCAUUUUUUUUCUUGUCUUCACAGCAUCUUUCAAGGUGUCCCCAGCUCAUAUCAGGGAUCCCUAACCUCCGGAAAACUGGUCUGAGAGCUGCAGACAGGAAAAAAACGCAUGUCCUAAUCAGGGGACCCAACUCCUGGGAUGUGGACCUUUACCGAAAGCCGCUUGACAUCGAACUGCAGACAGAGGAAAAAUGCAUACGCUAUCUUUGAUUUUUUUUUCUGAUUCUGCAAGAAAAGUUUUUUUUUUUUUUUAAACUACUAGACUCUGUUCAUCACAUAUGCCUGUUUUGCCGAGUCGCGUUGCAUUAAACAGCUGCUCGCUUGUACCGCUAGCUAAGCUAAAAGCACAAAGCUAAGCAAGACAAAUAAAAAGGCGUAUUUGUAAAGUUUCUUUGGAGAGACAAGAGCCAGUGGGGAACACUUUGACUUCAGAAGAACAUAAAACUGCUAGCUGUUAAUAGAUGAAACCAGGAGUCUUUCUGGUCUUUAUGGAUUUAUGGAGACAGCACAAAGCUUCUCUGCAUAACAAAUAUGCAGCGGCACAUAUGCCCACAAUAUUAUAGUUACAGACACAAUGGAUUCAUGUUUAAUAUUAUAUUUCGAAAAUACCAGUUUUACAACGGUUUGGCAUUUUUUUUUUGCUUUAUUCAUUCAUCACAUGUUAAGUCGGACACGGCUUAAGUUAGCGUCAAGCUACUAGCAUGCACUUUGACCUUAAAGGGAAAAUCCUCAUCAAAAAGUCUACGUUAAAAGCAGCUGCAAACAUUUCAGAGAGAAUGAAGAUUCAACCAAAUAAAGUUGCCGACCUGCUGAAGAUGUUUCUGAACUCAUGAAACUUCUAAAAAUUCCCACAGAAAGGCAGGAUUAAGCAGGAAUCUGACUUACAUGCAUUUUUUUCCCUUAGUCUGCGGUCUGGUACCAAGUGGCUGUCGGACUAGUACGGGUCCGGGUCUAAGGGGUUGGGGACCCCUAAUUUAAUGGUAAAAGCCAGCAUGUCAAAAAACGACAAGCAGGGUACACCCAAGACGUCAAAAAUUGAAGAAAGAAACAUUUAUGCAGCUAAGACUAAUCAUUUUUUUUAACAAUUGUAAAAAGGAACAAGCUAAUUAAUUAUGAUGCAACAAAAACACAAAACCUUAAUUUCAUAAUUUAGCAAAUUCAAAGAAAAUAACCCAACAGAAUGAAAUUAGCUAAAUUCUUCUUAAAUGCAUUCACUUUACUCCUAAUAAAACAGAGCUAACAAAUUUCAUUUUCUGACCAAAAACUAACCCCUCUGGCUAUUUUAAUAAUACUAAUAUAUGCGCCUAAAGUUUGUAUUUUCGAAAGUUG